UUCAUAAGCGUGAUGAUUGGGGAUUCACGCCUUUGCGUGACAUGUGCCGCCCAUUAAGCCUUGUUACGCCGCGGGCACAUUACCCGUCUGACGUGAACUAAAGAGGAUCCACCACUUUCACUUUGAAACUUGAAGUGUCUACUCUGGAUGUUUCUCUAGAGGAGUGUUCCCGGCUGCCAGUUUUAGUACUAUCUUCAGUUUUGGCAAACUGGACUCUUCUUUUAAGAAAUCAGACUAUGGAGAAGGGGAAAGGGUCACCAUCCACUGAGCAAAUUGAGAACAUGGGAAGGUGGGAGAGUGAGAAGGGAAGAAAAGGAAGGAUGCAGAGGUCAUGAGGAGGCAGAAAGGUUGAGUCAGAUGGAGAUUAGAAGAAAGGACAUAUGAUAGUAGUGCCACAAGUUAGAGAAGAAGCUGUCAACACAUGGGCCUUUGGGGCUUUAGUUCACAUCCAGUCAAGCCUAUGAGGAAAUCAGAGGUAUUUCGUAUAGGCUGAAAACUUGGACCCUUCAAUUGUGCCGACACAGCAGCCCGAG
This 533-nucleotide long non-coding RNA is filed under the name Cricetulus griseus (Chinese hamster). RNAcentral's name for it is "lncRNA (ENSCGRG00015032098.1)". The stretch from base 1 to 93 matches the Rfam family "Small nucleolar RNA U13", at positions 13 to 104 of the family's 104-position model. The record is from RNAcentral. Lineage: Eukaryota; Metazoa; Chordata; Mammalia; Rodentia; Cricetidae.